This 472-nucleotide ribosomal RNA is filed under the name Xylaria cf. microceras. RNAcentral describes it as "eukaryotic LSU rRNA". It matches the Rfam family "Eukaryotic large subunit ribosomal RNA", at positions 1 to 477 of the family's 3401-position model. Lineage: Eukaryota; Fungi; Ascomycota; Sordariomycetes; Xylariales; Xylariaceae. The record is from RNAcentral.
GACCUCGGAUCAGGUAGGAAUACCCGCUGAACUUAAGCAUAUCAAUAAGCGGAGGAAAAGAAACCAACAGGGAUUGCCCUAGUAACGGCGAGUGAAGCGGCAACAGCUCAAAUUUGAAAUCUGGCCCUCGGGUCCGAGUUGUAAUUUGUAGAGGAUGCUUUUGGCGCGGUGCCUUCCGAGUUCCCUGGAACGGGACGCCUUAGAGGGUGAGAGCCCCGUACGGUUGGACACCAAGCCUCUGUAAAGCUCCUUCGACGAGUCGAGUAGUUUGGGAAUGCUGCUCUAAAUGGGAGGUAAAUUUCUUCUAAAGCUAAAUAUUGGCCAGAGACCGAUAGCGCACAAGUAGAGUGAUCGAAAGAUGAAAAGCACUUUGAAAAGAGGGUUAAAUAGCACGUGAAAUUGUUGAAAGGGAAGCGUUUGCGACCAGACUUUUUCCUAGCGGAUCAUCCGGUGGUUCUCACCGGUGCACUUU